GAUGAAGAACGUAGCGAAAUGCGAUAAGUAGUGUGAAUUGCAGAAUUCAGUGAAUCAUCGAAUCUUUGAACGCACAUUGCGCCCCUUGGUAUUCCAUGGGGCAUGCCUGUUCGAGCGUCAUUUGUACCUUCAAGCUUUGCUUGGUGUUGGUGUUUGUCCCGAGGGACUCGCCUUAAAGUAAUUGGCAGCCAGUGUUUGGUUUUGAAGCGCAGCACAAGUCGCGAUUCAAGGCUACACGCCCGCUUCCACAAGCCUUUUUUCACUUUUGACCUCGGAUCAGGUAGGGAUACCCGCUGAACUUAAGCAUAUCAAUAAGCGGAGGA
RNAcentral lists this unclassified non-coding RNA (323 nucleotides) under soil metagenome. RNAcentral's name for it is "partial contains 5.8S ribosomal RNA, internal transcribed spacer 2, and large subunit ribosomal RNA". The stretch from base 1 to 120 matches the Rfam family "5.8S ribosomal RNA", at positions 35 to 154 of the family's 154-position model. The record is from RNAcentral.